GGGCGGGUGGUUUAGUGGAAUAAUACUUCUAUUGUCUUGUCAUAACAAUUACCGAAGUGGUCCAGGGUUCGAGUCCCUGUCUGCCCA
RNAcentral lists this transfer RNA (87 nucleotides) under Fusarium euwallaceae. RNAcentral's name for it is "tRNA-Gln". It matches the Rfam family "tRNA". From Rfam's summary of the family: Transfer RNA (tRNA) molecules are approximately 80 nucleotides in length. Lineage: Eukaryota; Fungi; Ascomycota; Sordariomycetes; Hypocreales; Nectriaceae. The record is from RNAcentral.